AACCUUUUUCUCGUCUAUUAGUUUGGUACCUAAGCCUAACGACAUUAAGAUUUUGUUAAGGUGGUAGCGCUGGCUACUCAUGCGCCACCACGUGUCGCACUCCCAAGAUCCCUUUAAUCCGUGUUGACCUGUCUCCUUGGAAAAAAAGAACUAAAAACAUCAUUUAUUAAAAUAACAAAAAAUAAAAAACAAAUAAAUGUUUUCCAUCGGUUAUUGAAUCGAUUGGAACAAAAAUCUUUUCGAUUGCUUAAGAAACCUUUUGGAUUAUCCCUGAACAUUAAAAGCUAUAUAUGAUUUUUAUCUUAUUGACAUUGAAUCCUUUCACCAGUCCCG
RNAcentral lists this long non-coding RNA (333 nucleotides) under Gossypium raimondii (Peruvian cotton). RNAcentral describes it as "long non-coding RNA (GRAI_LNC010702)". Lineage: Eukaryota; Viridiplantae; Streptophyta; Magnoliopsida; Malvales; Malvaceae. The record is from RNAcentral.